CUGGGAAGCAGAGAGUUGGUGUUGGAG
RNAcentral lists this non-coding RNA (27 nucleotides) under Homo sapiens (human). The record is from RNAcentral. Lineage: Eukaryota; Metazoa; Chordata; Mammalia; Primates; Hominidae.